GUCCCUAAUAUUAGGCACAAGCAUAAUAAUACCGACAUUCAGAAGGUUAUUACAGCAUAACAAUUCUUUAAAAACAUCUCAUGGAACUUAAAUAAUGAUCCUUGAGGUAUGGAUCAAUGUAGGCAAAGAUCUCAAGCUUAUAGCUAUGUUAGACAGACCAUUUGUCCUUUUUUUUUUUUUAAUUAGCUAUCUUGCCUACUUUGUAGAACUCAUUUGGUUUAUGAAAAAAAAAAUUUAUCCAUAAGA
This 246-nucleotide long non-coding RNA is filed under the name Elaeis guineensis (African oil palm). RNAcentral's name for it is "long non-coding RNA (EGUI_LNC068640)". Lineage: Eukaryota; Viridiplantae; Streptophyta; Magnoliopsida; Arecales; Arecaceae. The record is from RNAcentral.